RNAcentral lists this ribosomal RNA (492 nucleotides) under uncultured bacterium. Its description in RNAcentral is "partial 16S ribosomal RNA". It matches the Rfam family "Bacterial small subunit ribosomal RNA", at positions 29 to 507 of the family's 1533-position model. The record is from RNAcentral.
AGUGAACGCUGGCGGUAGGCCUAACACAUGCAAGUCGAACGGCAGCACAGUAAGAGCUUGUUCUUACGGGUGGCGAGUGGCGGACGGGUGAGGAAUACAUCGGAAUCUACUUUUUCGUGGGGGAUAACGUAGGGAAACUUACGCUAAUACCGCAUACGACCUACGGGUGAAAGCAGGGGAUCUUCGGAUCUUGCGCGAUUGAAUGAGCCGAUGUCGGAUUAGCUAGUUGGCGGGGUAAAGGCCCACCAAGGCGACGAUCCGUAGCUGGUCUGAGAGGAUGAUCAGCCACACUGGAACUGAGACACGGUCCAGACUCCUACGGGAGGCAGCAGUGGGGAAUAUUGGACAAUGGGCGCAAGCCUGAUCCAGCCAUACCGCGUGGGUGAAGAAGGCCUUCGGGUUGUAAAGCCCUUUUGUUGGGGAAGAAAAGCAGCAGGUUAAUACCCCGCUGUUCUGACGGUACCCAAAGAAUAAGCACCGGCUAACUUCGUG